This is a non-coding RNA of Erythranthe guttata (spotted monkey flower), 984 nucleotides long. The record is from RefSeq and is a predicted model, not a curated record. NCBI's taxonomy places the organism in Eukaryota, Viridiplantae, Streptophyta, Magnoliopsida, Lamiales, Phrymaceae.
CAAUUCAAGAUGUAGUUACGGCAUAGGAAAUCAGAGUGACUCCACGCAUCAAUGACUAGGAAGACUUCCUUGUUAUUUUCGGGAGUUUCUCCUUCCUUUGCCUUAGGUGCCUCCUCAUUGAGAAACUUAGCCAAAUUCAUGGUAGUAAGGUAGAAGAACAUUUUGUUCUUCCAAGUAGAAAAGUCCGUACCCGUGAAUUUGUUAGGUUUUUCGGCCGCGCCGACAACCUUAGGAGCGGCAUCAUUGAUUGAAGCCAUCUACACGAAUUUAUUUAAGCAACGGUUUAAAAUAGAAGAAUUUAAAAUAUAUGAAAAUUCAAAAUUCCAUAUUUAUCUUCUCAGUACCAAACCCAAACUUUAUUCUAAUGUUAAAACAAAGAAUAAAUAGUUUAUCCAAAAUUAGGUACAAAUGAUUGUUUAAAUGGUUUUAAACGAAACAGCAAAUGAAUGCAUUAUUUUUAUAAAAUCAAAAUUCAAAAAGCAAUAUAUUAGUAUAAAAUAGUGACCCAUGGUAAUGAAUAUAUCAAUAUCCGAGAUUUUAGAAUCAGACUUCUCUCUUUCGAGACUUCUAACAUAAUACAAAACAAGUUUGACUUUGAUUAUAAAAAAUAAUGAAGUCCCAAGUUUUGUGCACAGAGAAGUUUUACGCAAACUUUUGUAAACCAGAGGUAAAAUUCUCACGGCAUAAGAAAAUUACGCAGAUGUUAUAAAACAAAGAAAUUUAUAUUGUCUUAAGAUUGUUGGUAUAAUUAGAUAACAAUCUACGUAAACGAAAAUUACUUACUUGUUUGUCGAAAAGAGAAAUUGUGAAAACCACAAAGAACGAUCGAGGCUUGCCAAAGCAAUUCCCUUAAGACAAUAUUUCCGGGCUGUCAACGGUGCACAGUCUCUUCCCGGUAGUCUCCCAAGGUACAACGAUCGGUUGUCGAAUAUUUGCACGAAUAUUCGACCCACGGCGAACUUGAACAACGAACGGAACUUUGAC